GGGUGUGGCUCAGCGGUAGAGCACUCACCUAGCAAGUACAAGGCCCUGGGUUCGAUCCUCAGAACCACA
Molecule: transfer RNA, 69 nt
Filed under: Marmota monax (woodchuck)
Lineage: Eukaryota; Metazoa; Chordata; Mammalia; Rodentia; Sciuridae
Description: tRNA.Ala
Source: RNAcentral